AAAUUGGGAGCAGAAGUUGAGUCUAAUGGAGAGGAGUGGAACUGAUAUGCUCAGACCUUGUCCUUCCCACAGCCCAGAAGAGAAAAAGCCUUGACUGCCUCCUGGUCCUGUCCUGGCUGAUUGGACCAACAGUAGACACUUGACCUACUCCUGGCCUGACAGCUCCCUCUGGGAGUCUAUAGCUAAACAGGGAAGCUGGACUUUCCUCCUUCAGCUGUGAGAUGUGUCACAAGAGCGCACGGCAACUCCCCAUUGCCCCAGCAGUGCUCUCGCCAACAUUCUGCCUCAGCCUCCCUAGCCAUCAUCCCGUACCUGGCUUCUCUCCAUGGAAACAACACACACCCAGAAGAGGGAGGAUUCUGUCUAACCCAGGGAGAUCUAGCAAGCAAGACUGAAGCUUUCAAGUACAUCUUUUUUUUUUUUUUUUUAAAUCAGGACACUCGGAGAUUCUGGGUCACAAAUUUGGUACCUGCUUUUGAUCCCCUCAUACUGUACCCCAGCCUACCCUGCUGGUGGGACUCUGGACUUCCUAGCUAUCUGGAUGAGAAGUCUCAGGGUGCUCUGCACAGAGCAGCAUUUGAGGCAGUGUGGGAAAUGGGCCAGAAGGGACACCAGGGCUGGGGAGGUGGAGGGGCCAUAGCUCCCAGUUGUCCCAGGUGACUAUCAGGGUAGUAUGCCACCUUGAAGAUGGGGAUUAAUGGGCCAAGCACACGCCUGGGAGGUUGUAAUUGUUGCUUCCGUUGUCAUGGGCAGGGCAGGCUGAAGCAUGAUGGGAAACUGGAAACAGAUAGAAGGCCCAGAUGGUGUUGGCUUCUCUUAGGCUCUUGGGAAAGAUAGGACCAGAGAUAUUUAGCAAGGUCACCCCCAAAGCAUGUCCCCGAUUAGUGCUGGACCAUGGACAGGACCCAGGAACGAGGGCGCCCGGCCUGCUCUGCCUUGCAGUACUGGGUGCUGCUGUGGACGCUGCUCCAUUUCCAUUCAGCUGUGUUCCUUGUGUCCUUGGAGUGUCCCUUAUGAAGCCGGGGAGCUGGCAGGUAAUGGAGGGCCAGGCUUUACUGUGCCCGUGCCUCUCUUUACGACGCCAUAUUUUUUUUAACGAGCUAUGUAAAUGUCUGCGAGUCAGAACAAAGUCAGGGCCUCUAGCUGCCCCCUCCCCCACUCACCUGACCUUGUGCGUCCCAGGGGAAAGUUUUCUGAGGGCUGUGGCGGUAGCCUCCGUGUGGCCAUUUCCUGGUUCAGCUUGAGUCGGCGCAGGGACUAUGGCUGGGACCUUAUGCCUGUCACCUCUCUUCCUGUUCCUCAUCUACACAAUGGAAUACAGAGCGUUUCGUGCUUUCUGAAGCAUCAUGGUACCGCUACACCGCAGCCUUGGGCAGUGGCUGGCCCCCGCUGAGAUUUUGGUUUCUUGUCAUCAAAACAGGUAGACCACUGCUUUCGUUCUAAUCAGCCCUGGGCUCAUUGCAGUGGGCAAGGGAUGGUCUCAGAGACGACCCCUGUCCCUGCUCCUCCCUGGCCUGCUCUUCCUUUGGCUUCUUGUUCCCUGGGAUAACACCAUCCUCAGGAAGGUGUCUCCACAGUACAGUGGGGUUGGGGAGCAAGGAUGAGGCUGAUGAGCAGAGAACCAGGCAUGGUCACUGCUGAUGUCCUGGUUAGGGUGGCGGCUAGACUCAAAGGAGCUGAGGGAAGAGAGGGCCUGGGAUUGUGCCAGGGCAGCUCUCAGUCUCUGGGUCACCAGAGGCCUCCCCAGCCCUCCCUUUGUAGUAACAGCCAGAGUUGUGAGGGGUGCAGAUUAUACCAUAACAGGAGGCCAUAAAUCCCUUUGCAGGCUGAGCAACCAAAUUCCCAGGGGGAGCUCUGACCACCUAGGAUGGCACUGCAUGACCACUGUGUCCCAAGCUCCUAAUAGAUGCCCAGGCCAGAUUACCAGGCCUUCAGCACAGCUGCUAAACCUUCCGUCAUGUAUUCUGAUCAGAGUUCUACACUCUACCGAGGUGCCAGGGUGGCCUGGGAGGGUUGGCUGGCAUAGCUCGUGACCAUGGGUAUUGACAUUCACUCUGUUCACGUACCCACACCAUAGUGUGCCCGCCGCCAGCACCUCUUUUGUCUGUGAAAGAGAGACUGCAGGAGGUGGUAUAACUUCAUCCACUUCACGGGUGAGAAGCCUGAGUUGAUAGUGGUUCAAAAUGAGUUCUGGCUUUCAAACCUACCUGGAGAUGGGCCUAGCUGUCCUUUCUACCUCCUGACUCUCCAGAUCUACCUCUGAAACGGAAUAUGUUAGGACUUCUUCAGAGUGGGAUUAAAGAAGAGAAUUCAGGAAUGGCCUGUAGCCUGUCCAUCAGCACAACCCCUGAUAAACUGCAGCUGACAGGAUUACUGCCUCUGCCUCUGCUGCAGCCUGCCACAGAAAGGAUAUUGUACCAGGGGACAGCAAAGCCAGUCUGUCUCAGCAGCCCCCUACUCCUGAGCGAACUCUAGAGGCCCGUAUAUCAAUGGAAGCUUCCUCCAAGGACAGAGGGACUAUAGAUGUCCCCACAGCAGUUCUCUCUGUAGGUCGGUGACCCCUUUAACAAACCUCUGUCUCCAAAAGUGUCUCCAUUGCAAUCCAUAACAGUAGUAAAAUUACAGUUAUGAAUUAGC
This 2637-nucleotide long non-coding RNA is filed under the name Mus pahari (shrew mouse). RNAcentral describes it as "lncRNA (MGP_PahariEiJ_G0004261.1)". The record is from RNAcentral. Lineage: Eukaryota; Metazoa; Chordata; Mammalia; Rodentia; Muridae.